GCUGGGUGUGGUGGUGUGCACCUGUAAUCCCAGCUACUUGGGAGGCUGAGGUGGGAGGAUCACUUGAGCCUGGGAGGGCAAGGCUGCAGUGAGCUGAGAUUGCGCCACUGCACUCCAGCCUGGAUGACAGAGUGAGACCCCGUCUCAA
Molecule: non-coding RNA, 148 nt
Filed under: Nomascus leucogenys (northern white-cheeked gibbon)
Lineage: Eukaryota; Metazoa; Chordata; Mammalia; Primates; Hylobatidae
Source: Rfam by way of RNAcentral